UACGAAGGGGGCUAGCGUUGUUCGGAAUUACUGGGCGUAAAGCGUGCGCAGGCGGCUUCUCAAGUCAGGGGUGAAAGCCCAGAGCUCAACUCUGGAAUUGCCUUUGAGACUGAGAGGCUUGAGUAUGGGAGAGGUGAGUGGAAUUCCUGGUGUAGCGGUGAAAUGCGUAGAUAUCAGGAGGAACACCUGUGGCGAAAGCGGCUCACUGGACCAUAACUGACGCUGAUGCACGAAAGCUAGGGGAGCAAACAGG
RNAcentral lists this ribosomal RNA (253 nucleotides) under uncultured bacterium. RNAcentral describes it as "partial 16S ribosomal RNA". It matches the Rfam family "Bacterial small subunit ribosomal RNA", at positions 524 to 776 of the family's 1533-position model. The record is from RNAcentral.